UACGAAGGGGGCUAGCGUUGCUCGGAAUUACUGGGCGUAAAGCGCACGUAGGCGGUCUUUUAAGUCGGGGGUGAAAUCCUGGAGCUCAACUCCAGAACUGCCCUCGAUACUGGAAGACUCGAGUCCGGGAGAGGUGAGUGGAACUGCGAGUGUAGAGGUGAAAUUCGUAGAUAUUCGCAAGAACACCAGUGGCGAAGGCGGCUCACUGGCCCGGUACUGACGCUGAGGUGCGAAAGCGUGGGGAGCAAACAGG
RNAcentral lists this ribosomal RNA (253 nucleotides) under uncultured bacterium. Its description in RNAcentral is "partial 16S ribosomal RNA". It matches the Rfam family "Bacterial small subunit ribosomal RNA", at positions 524 to 776 of the family's 1533-position model. The record is from RNAcentral.